CUGGCGGCACUAGCGCGGUGGUCCCACCUGACCCCAUGCCGAACUCAGAAGUGAAACGCCGUAGCGCCGAUGGUAGUGUGGGGUCUCCCCAUGCGAGAGUAGGGAACUGCCAGAC
RNAcentral lists this ribosomal RNA (115 nucleotides) under Salmonella enterica. The record is from RNAcentral. RNAcentral also lists the same sequence under 2 other names. Lineage: Bacteria; Pseudomonadati; Pseudomonadota; Gammaproteobacteria; Enterobacterales; Enterobacteriaceae.